GGGUUGUGAGGUUAAGCGACUAAGCGUACACGGUGGAUGCCCUGGCAGUCAGAGGCGAUGAAGGACGUGCUAAUCUGCGAUAAGCGUCGGUAAGGUGAUAUGAACCGUUAUAACCGGCGAUUUCCGAAUGGGGAAACCCAGUGUGUUUCGACACACUAUCAUUAACUGAAUCUAUAGGUUAAUGAGGCGAACCGGGGGAACUGAAACAUCUAAGUACCCCGAGGAAAAGAAAUCAACCGAGAUUCCCCCAGUAGCGGCGAGCGAACGGGGAGCAGCCCAGAGCCUGAAUCAGUGUGUGUGUUAGUGGAAGCGUCUGGAAAGGCGCGCGAUACAGGGUGACAGCCCCGUACACAAAAAUGCACAUGCUGUGAGCUCGAUGAGUAGGGCGGGACACGUGGUAUCCUGUCUGAAUAUGGGGGGACCAUCCUCCAAGGCUAAAUACUCCUGACUGACCGAUAGUGAACCAGUACCGUGAGGGAAAGGCGAAAAGAACCCCGGCGAGGGGAGUGAAAAAGAACCUGAAACCGUGUACGUACAAGCAGUGGGAGCACGCUUAGGCGUGUGACUGCGUACCUUUUGUAUAAUGGGUCAGCGACUUAUAUUCUGUAGCAAGGUUAACCGAAUAGGGGAGCCGAAGGGAAACCGAGUCUUAACUGGGCGUUAAGUUGCAGGGUAUAGACCCGAAACCCGGUGAUCUAGCCAUGGGCAGGUUGAAGGUUGGGUAACACUAACUGGAGGACCGAACCGACUAAUGUUGAAAAAUUAGCGGAUGACUUGUGGCUGGGGGUGAAAGGCCAAUCAAACCGGGAGAUAGCUGGUUCUCCCCGAAAGCUAUUUAGGUAGCGCCUCGUGAAUUCAUCUCCGGGGGUAGAGCACUGUUUCGGCAAGGGGGUCAUCCCGACUUACCAACCCGAUGCAAACUGCGAAUACCGGAGAAUGUUAUCACGGGAGACACACGGCGGGUGCUAACGUCCGUCGUGAAGAGGGAAACAACCCAGACCGCCAGCUAAGGUCCCAAAGUCAUGGUUAAGUGGGAAACGAUGUGGGAAGGCCCAGACAGCCAGGAUGUUGGCUUAGAAGCAGCCAUCAUUUAAAGAAAGCGUAAUAGCUCACUGGUCGAGUCGGCCUGCGCGGAAGAUGUAACGGGGCUAAACCAUGCACCGAAGCUGCGGCAGCGACACUAUGUGUUGUUGGGUAGGGGAGCGUUCUGUAAGCCUGUGAAGGUGUGCUGUGAGGCAUGCUGGAGGUAUCAGAAGUGCGAAUGCUGACAUAAGUAACGAUAAAGCGGGUGAAAAGCCCGCUCGCCGGAAGACCAAGGGUUCCUGUCCAACGUUAAUCGGGGCAGGGUGAGUCGACCCCUAAGGCGAGGCCGAAAGGCGUAGUCGAUGGGAAACAGGUUAAUAUUCCUGUACUUGGUGUUACUGCGAAGGGGGGACGGAGAAGGCUAUGUUGGCCGGGCGACGGUUGUCCCGGUUUAAGCGUGUAGGCUGGUUUUCCAGGCAAAUCCGGAAAAUCAAGGCUGAGGCGUGAUGACGAGGCACUACGGUGCUGAAGCAACAAAUGCCCUGCUUCCAGGAAAAGCCUCUAAGCAUCAGGUAACAUCAAAUCGUACCCCAAACCGACACAGGUGGUCAGGUAGAGAAUACCAAGGCGCUUGAGAGAACUCGGGUGAAGGAACUAGGCAAAAUGGUGCCGUAACUUCGGGAGAAGGCACGCUGAUAUGUAGGUGAAGUCCCUUGCGGAUGGAGCUGAAAUCAGUCGAAGAUACCAGCUGGCUGCAACUGUUUAUUAAAAACACAGCACUGUGCAAACACGAAAGUGGACGUAUACGGUGUGACGCCUGCCCGGUGCCGGAAGGUUAAUUGAUGGGGUCAGCGCAAGCGAAGCUCUUGAUCGAAGCCCCGGUAAACGGCGGCCGUAACUAUAACGGUCCUAAGGUAGCGAAAUUCCUUGUCGGGUAAGUUCCGACCUGCACGAAUGGCGUAAUGAUGGCCAGGCUGUCUCCACCCGAGACUCAGUGAAAUUGAACUCGCUGUGAAGAUGCAGUGUACCCGCGGCAAGACGGAAAGACCCCGUGAACCUUUACUAUAGCUUGACACUGAACAUUGAGCCUUGAUGUGUAGGAUAGGUGGGAGGCUUGGAAGUGUGGACGCCAGUCUGCAUGGAGCCGACCUUGAAAUACCACCCUUUAAUGUUUGAUGUUCUAACGUUGACCCGUAAUCCGGGUUGCGGACAGUGUCUGGUGGGUAGUUUGACUGGGGCGGUCUCCUCCUAAAGAGUAACGGAGGAGCACGAAGGUUGGCUAAUCCUGGUCGGACAUCAGGAGGUUAGUGCAAUGGCAUAAGCCAGCUUGACUGCGAGCGUGACGGCGCGAGCAGGUGCGAAAGCAGGUCAUAGUGAUCCGGUGGUUCUGAAUGGAAGGGCCAUCGCUCAACGGAUAAAAGGUACUCCGGGGAUAACAGGCUGAUACCGCCCAAGAGUUCAUAUCGACGGCGGUGUUUGGCACCUCGAUGUCGGCUCAUCACAUCCUGGGGCUGAAGUAGGUCCCAAGGGUAUGGCUGUUCGCCAUUUAAAGUGGUACGCGAGCUGGGUUUAGAACGUCGUGAGACAGUUCGGUCCCUAUCUGCCGUGGGCGCUGGAGAACUGAGGGGGGCUGCUCCUAGUACGAGAGGACCGGAGUGGACGCAUCACUGGUGUUCGGGUUGUCAUGCCAAUGGCACUGCCCGGUAGCUAAAUGCGGAAGAGAUAAGUGCUGAAAGCAUCUAAGCACGAAACUUGCCCCGAGAUGAGUUCUCCCUGACCCUUUAAGGGUCCUGAAGGAACGUUGAAGACGACGACGUUGAUAGGCCGGGUGUGUAAGCGCAGCGAUGCGUUGAGCUAACCGGUACUAAUGAACCGUGAGGCUUAACCUUACAACGCCGAAGCUGUU
This 2929-nucleotide ribosomal RNA is filed under the name Escherichia coli. Its description in RNAcentral is "bacterial LSU rRNA". It matches the Rfam family "Bacterial large subunit ribosomal RNA". The record is from RNAcentral. Lineage: Bacteria; Pseudomonadati; Pseudomonadota; Gammaproteobacteria; Enterobacterales; Enterobacteriaceae.